AUGCUCUAUCCCCAAGAAGAGUGCUCGGUGGUGGAGGCCACACCCCGCCCUCGGCAGCUAGGCCAGCUAAGAGCCACACUGACUGACUGCGGUUCUGGUCUGUUCUUCCACACAGAGCGCGUCGGAGGAGCAGCGUUGGCGUUGCUAUUAGGAGACCUGCACAUCCCACACCAGUGCAACAGUCUGCCAGCUAAAUUUUAAAAAACUGCUGGUACCAGGAAAGAUUCAGCACAUUCUCUGCGCUGGAAACCUUUGUACCAAAGAGAGUUAUGACUAUCUCAAGACUCUGGCUGGUGAUGUUCAUACCGUGAGAGGAGACUUCGAUGCGAAUCUGAAUUAUCCAGAACAGAAAGUUGUAACUGUUGGGCAGUUCAACAUUGGUCUGAUCCAUGGACAUGAAGUUAUUCCACGGGGAGAUGUGGCCAGGUUAGCCCUGCUGCAGAGGCAGUUUGAUAUGGAUAUCCUUAUUUCAGGACACACACAUAAAUUUGAAGCACGUGAGCAUGAAAAUAAAUUCUACAUUAAUCCAGGUUCUGCCACUGGAGCAUAUAAUGCCUUGGAAACGAACAUUAUUCCUUCAUUUGUGUUGAUGGAUAUCCAGGCUUCUACAGUUGUCGCUUACGUGUAUCAGCUAAUUGGAGACGACGUGAAAGUAGAACAGAUCGAAUACAAAAAAUCUUAAAGUGAGGCGUGUCCUGAUGAUUUUUCUGUUGGGCUUUUUUUCUUCUUCAUUCCCCUGUUCAACUCAAGUAAUUAAACAUUUAAGAGCCA
Molecule: RNA transcript, 771 nt
Organism: Aethalodelphis obliquidens (Pacific white-sided dolphin)
Lineage: Eukaryota; Metazoa; Chordata; Mammalia; Artiodactyla; Delphinidae
Gene name: vacuolar protein sorting-associated protein 29-like
Exons: 2
Source: RefSeq, a predicted model, not a curated record